Molecule: transfer RNA, 69 nt
Filed under: Marmota monax (woodchuck)
Lineage: Eukaryota; Metazoa; Chordata; Mammalia; Rodentia; Sciuridae
Description: tRNA.Ala
Rfam family: tRNA (bases 4-64)
About the family: Transfer RNA (tRNA) molecules are approximately 80 nucleotides in length. Their secondary structure includes four short double-helical elements and three loops (D, anti-codon, and T loops). Further hydrogen bonds mediate the characteristic L-shaped molecular structure. tRNAs have two regions of fundamental functional importance: the anti-codon, which is responsible for specific mRNA codon recognition, and the 3' end, to which the tRNAs corresponding amino acid is attached (by aminoacyl-tRNA synthetases). tRNAs cope with the degeneracy of the genetic code in two manners: having more than one tRNA (with a specific anti-codon) for a particular amino acid; and 'wobble' base-pairing, i.e. permitting non-standard base-pairing at the 3rd anti-codon position.
Source: RNAcentral
GUUUGUGGCUCAGUGGUAGAGCGCUUGCCUAGCACGUGUGAGGCACUGGGUUCAAUCCUCAGCACCACA